Myotis brandtii (Brandt's bat) is the source of this 3622-nucleotide long non-coding RNA. RefSeq lists it as uncharacterized. The transcript is spliced from 3 exons. NCBI's taxonomy places the organism in Eukaryota, Metazoa, Chordata, Mammalia, Chiroptera, Vespertilionidae. The record is from RefSeq and is a predicted model, not a curated record.
CCUUCCUCUCUGUAAAAAAUCAAUAAAAUAUCUUUAAAAAAAUUUUUGGCCUAAAUCAUAAAUUUCUAAUCCCACAGCUGGUUGGUGAAACAUGUGCCCUUGAUGGGGUGGACUUGGGAUUUCAAGGACAGUGGCUGCCCCAGCCAUGAUGGCUUCUCCAGCAUCAUGCCAAUGCCUCCCGAGCAUCCUGGGGUCCUCUGAGCAUGGCCACACUCUUCCUUCUUUACUGGUGUUUUUUGUUGUUGUUAUGAAGGUGAUACAUGCCUCUGAUAAAGUUGAACACUACAGGAGAGUAGCAGGUGAAAAGUCAAAGUCGUCCCCUAGGUAACCACUUAUCACUAAGCAGUCUGAUGGGCCUCCUCCAUACUUGUAAUGCCAUGUCACACAUGGACAUAUCUUGCAAAUAGGACCCUGUCAUACAUCCCUUUGCAAACUUCCCCAACACCUUUCUGCAUCCUCAUGUACAUGGCCUGCCCUCUGGUGAGGUGCCUUCGCAGGGAUAUGCCAUAACCCACUUCAGUGGCUCCUGGCUGAUGGGCGUUCAGGCACUGUCAACCCACAUGCGUGUGCUCACGUGUGCAGGGGAAUGUCUACACAUAGAGCUGCUGGUGAAGGCUCUCUUCACUGAAGUCUCAAGGAGUCCUACAUGCUUCUUCCAACUUGAGGGCGGAGGACACUUCAUUCUAUUUACCGGAAAUUCUAGAAGGAUCUAAAUGUCCCCACCACGCUGAAUACAGAAAGGCAGAGACAAUAUUAAGUCUAAAAUUGUUCUUGUUCAUUCCCAAAGAAGGCUGACAACUUAAUUUGGAAAAUUUUCUUUUACUCUAGUAGCUUGGGGACCCCAGGCUGUCAAAACAUGGAAAGCACAACCCGCUAAGGCGACCUCAUGGUCGCUCUGCUUCUCCCAUCAGGGCCCUGAGCACCGGAGGGCAGCCAGCAGUCCCUACAGCUCUGUGACCACUCGCUCAACAGACAGAAAGACCAACACUGCCAAGAGCAUGUCCAUCUUUUGACUGGACAUUUGCCUUGCCAAAAAAAUUUCCUAGCUUCUUAGUGUGAUGUAUUAUAAUAAUUUUAACGCCUAACUUCUGCUAUAAAAAUGUAGCAGGUAAUCUAUGCAAUAGAAUAGACACAUUCAGCAUGCCGCCCAGUCUCUCACCAUGGCAAAUGAAAUAUUUUGGUUAAAAUAGUCAUCAUAAAUAUUGACACAAUAUCACAGUCACAUUGCUAGUUUUCAAAGAGUAAGCUACAAUAAACUGUUUAAUACUGAAAAUAAUUUAAUAGAAGCCAAUUUGGUUAUAAAACACCAGGGAUUUAAAAAAAAAUUCUUCCCUUUCAUACAUUUGGAAACUUGGAGCCAUUUACUCUCUUUCUCCUUUUUAAUUCGGCAAUAUUCUGCUCCAUUUGGGAAGAAAGAAGCAGAGAUUCUCUGUUCUCCGUUCGAGAGUGUCUUCAGUGCCAACCCAGUUAUACGAGGGACAUCUGAGAGGGAGCCGGGUCCAGGCGCAGCAGUGAUAAGAGGAUUUGCCCAGAAGGACAUUUAAGCUGUGAGCACAGCACGACCUUCUUGGUUACAGAGACGCUUACAGUAGCUUCCAAAAAUAGAUGUCAGAGUCACACACCACAGGCCUGAGCCGGUCACCAGGGGAGAUCCCUGAAGCCCUCUGUACCUACUUUCCCUCCUCGAUGCAUUCUGCCCUUGAAUGUCGCAGGCGAGACAAACCAGUUCCCUGGAGGUCCCGCCUGCAGCACAGCCCUACCUGUCUGAGCUGAGGAGCACCUGACAGGGCACAUUCCACUCUGCACAGGGACAGAUAAAUCCUAGAAGAAAGUGGUAGAGUUGGGAUUCAAACCCGUGAAGUCUAAUUUCCAAAUGGAUGCUGUUCAGGCCAGGGAUGAAUGUCAGCCUGUGAAAAAGCAAACACCGGUCCCCACAGGAGUAGAGCACAGGCUGUGGAAUACUAUGGAGGAGACCCUGUGGGAAACCUCAACUGUAAUUGGAGUUGGGAAGGCCUAUCGAGGGAGCUAUCACACCUUACCACUUGAGGUCAACUACCCCAAAAAGGAAGGCCUCAACUGCAGACCUCAACAGGAAGAAAGUCAACUACAGACCACAACACUUGACUACUUUAAUACUCCAGCAGAUUCUCCCCCUGCCCAGCAACAAGCCCAGCCAAUGGAAACGUCACAGCUUAGCCAAUGAGAAGCCACCAUCACCUGAAUUCUUACUUUCCUUUAAUGAACUUUCACUUUUCUUUUGCUGACUUCUUUGUCCCGCCCUCCUUUCUAUAAAAGCCUUCUAUCUUGUAUAACCCCUCGUAGCAUCUCUCUACUUAUUAGAUGAGUUGCUGCUUGAUUCAUGAAUCGUUUAAUAAAGCCAAUGAGAUCAUCCAAUGUACUCAGUUAAAUUUUGUUUAACUAUAGAGGAGAGACUGUUCCAUGAAAUGACUGCUCUCUGUCCCUUGAGCUGGACCCAGGCUAGAAUGGAGGUUGCUUUAUGCAACCCCCCUUUAGAGGCUAUCUGAUCAUCACGGAUGUUCAUUCUGAUAUAAAUCGGUACCUCUCCCUUGCCUCCUGCUACAUACUGGUCCCUGGAGCAGGUUAUUAUCCUGACCUGGUCAAGCAUGUAAAUUAAUUUCCUGUACCUGGUAGCGCUGACAUACCCAUUGCUAUUCCCCUUUUUAUCCUAUAUAAUUCUCUGGCACCAAGUGGCAGAGGGGUCCAUUUUGUCUUGCAGCUGCAGAAGACAUGCCUCAAAUGUAAGUUUCCCUAAAUAAACUCUAUCAAUUGCAAGCCUCUUUCUUCGGUCUUUCCCUGCCCUCCACUUAUUGAGGUAAAUUUUCAGUCUCGGGGCUCCUCCCUUGGUCUGCGUGUAUGAAUAUCAACACGACAUAUGUUACCUAUUUAUUAUGGGUUGAACUGUGGCUGCUGUUGCUCAUUGUUUGACCUCUUACUACGAUGGGAAUUCCUCCGGGCAGGGCCUUUUCUGGUUUGUUCACUGAUGUUUCCCACACCCCCAGAACGGAGUUGAUCGUGGAUAUAAAUACUCACUGUAAUUCAGUCUUAGGACAUAACAGAAGCCAACGGUGAAUAUGUUACAAAGCUCUGUCAAUAUUUUAUAUGGAAAGUCCUGACUCCCUCUUCCUCGUCAUUUCCCCACCACUGCAGCUCCGGCCUUCACGUUGAGGCUGGGACUCCCAGAGUCCUCUCCCUUCAGGCUCUUUUCUCACGCUCAGGACCUUUGCACCUUUCCUCUCCCCGUGGCAGCGUCAUCCAGCCUGGCCUCUGCAUGCCCACUCCUGAGCCCUUGUUAAUGGCCGCUCCAGAGCAUGAGGAGGGCCCCAUUUCCCUCUCUUUCCAGAUCCUCCCUUUCUUUAACGGUGCCGUCCAGGUUCACUCUCCCAUGAGGUACAUGCAAGGUCUUAGAGUCACAUAGCCGUGGAUUUGAACCCGGGCUCUGCUGCAUACAGCUGUGGGACCUAGGCCUUAAGUGCCCUUCUCUUUAAAACGGGUUUAAUAAUUGGGUCUAUGUGGUGUAGCUGCUCUGAGGAUUAAAUGAGAAUGUAGGCACAGUUUAGCAUGGAACCUGAAAUGUGCUAUGUGCACACCACGCUCAUUGUCU